Molecule: ribosomal RNA, 838 nt
Filed under: Rhodotorula mucilaginosa
Lineage: Eukaryota; Fungi; Basidiomycota; Microbotryomycetes; Sporidiobolales; Sporidiobolaceae
Description: partial large subunit ribosomal RNA
Rfam family: Eukaryotic large subunit ribosomal RNA
Source: RNAcentral
AAAGAAACUAACAAGGAUUCCCCUAGUAAGCGCGAGCGAAGCGGGAAGAGCUCAAAUUUAUAAUCUGGCACCUUCGGUGUCCGAGUUGUAAUCUCUAGAAAUGUUUUCCGCGUUGGACCGCACACAAGUCUGUUGGAAUACAGCGGCAUAGUGGUGAGACCCCCGUAUAUGGUGCGGACGCCCAGCGCUUUGUGAUACAUUUUCGAAGAGUCGAGUUGUUUGGGAAUGCAGCUCAAAUUGGGUGGUAAAUUCCAUCUAAAGCUAAAUAUUGGCGAGAGACCGAUAGCGAACAAGUACCGUGAGGGAAAGAUGAAAAGCACUUUGGAAAGAGAGUUAACAGUACGUGAAAUUGUUGGAAGGGAAACGCUUGAAGUCAGACUUGCUUGCCGAGCAAUCGGUUUGCAGGCCAGCAUCAGUUUUCCGGGAUGGAUAAUGGUAGAGAGAAGGUAGCAGUUUCGGCUGUGUUAUAGCUCUCUGCUGGAUACAUCUUGGGGGACUGAGGAACGCAGUGUGCCUUUGGCGGGGGUUUCGACCUCUUCACACUUAGGAUGCUGGUGGAAUGGCUUUAAACGACCCGUCUUGAAACACGGACCAAGGAGUCUAACAUGCUUGCGAGUAUUUGGGUGUCAAACCCGGAUGCGUAAUGAAAGUGAAUGGAGGUGGGAACCGCAAGGUGCACCAUCGACCGAUCUGGAUUUUUAAUGAUGGAUUUGAGUAAGAGCACGUAUGUUGGGACCCGAAAGAUGGUGAACUAUGCCUGAAUAGGGCGAAGCCAGAGGAAACUCUGGUGGAGGCUCGUAGCGGUUCUGACGUGCAAAUCGAUCGUCAAAUUUGGGUA